Molecule: transfer RNA, 86 nt
Filed under: Meloidogyne enterolobii
Lineage: Eukaryota; Metazoa; Nematoda; Chromadorea; Rhabditida; Meloidogynidae
Description: tRNA-Arg
Rfam family: tRNA
About the family: Transfer RNA (tRNA) molecules are approximately 80 nucleotides in length.
Source: RNAcentral
UGCAUGUUUGGCCGAGUGGUUAAGGCGUCGGACUCCUGAUCCGAAUGGGUUCAGCCCAACGUAGGUUCGAAUCCUGCAGCAUGCAA